RNAcentral lists this ribosomal RNA (371 nucleotides) under uncultured organism. RNAcentral's name for it is "partial 16S ribosomal RNA". It matches the Rfam family "Bacterial small subunit ribosomal RNA", at positions 527 to 896 of the family's 1533-position model. The record is from RNAcentral.
GUAGGAGGCGAGCGUUAUCCGGAUUUACUGGGCGUAAAGCGUGUGCAGGCGGUUUGGUAAGUCGGACGUGAAAGCUCCCGGCUCAACUGGGAGAGGCCGUUCGAUACUGCCAGACUAGAGGGCAGCAGAGGGAGGUGGAAUUCAGGGUGUAGCGGUGAAAUGCGUAGAUAUCCUGAGGAACACCAGUGGCGAAAGCGGCCUCCUGGACUGUCCCUGACGCUAAGACACGAAAGCUAGGGGGAGCAAACGGGAUUAGAAACCCCGGUAGUCCUGGCCGUAAACGAUGCAGACUUGGUGUUGGUGGUGUAAAAAUCAUCAGUGCCGUAGCUAACGCGAUAAGUCUGCCGCCUGGGACUACGACCGCAAGGUUA